CUAAACGGCUAAACCGUAUUUUUCUGCUCUCUCUCUCUCUCCCACUCUCCUCACUCUGAAACUGUACGAAUCUUUCAAAUUUCAAUUGGUUUAUGAAGAAAGCCCAGAAGCUACAACUUGAAGGCACCAAUCAAAGAACACAGGGAUCUCUUUUAGUCGGUGUACGUAUGUGAAGAACUCUUGAAUCUCCCGUCAUAGACACGUACAAUAAUUGGAGAUAAUUACAUAUCGGCAUCAUCUGAAGCACCGGGGCAUCUCAUAGAAUUCCAAUCCUCCUUCAAAAGGGUCUGUGAAUCUUUCCCAGUAUUAUUAGCCUUUGAUGAAGAUGUUGUUGAUCUCGACUUACUGAAUGAGCUAGGAGAUAUACAAAGAUUAGCCUUUUCUACUUUCCAGAGGAUGGAUCAGGAGAUUCCUCAAUGAUCAUGAAAUUGUUCCACAGAUCAUAGGGCUUUCUAUGGGAAGUCAAGUAGAACAUUAACUGAUACGACUCUUCUAAAACUUCUAACUUUGUUACUAUUGGUAUUAAGGUGUGAGUGUGAAGUGAGAGAGCCAGUAAUCUAGGAGUGAAGGAGAAUACUUAAUCUGUGAAUUUUUUCUAUUGGAUCCUUUUUGUAAUGAAACUGUGAACUUCAUUUGAUUUAUGUUAGUUGUUAGUUUCGUUAAAAAAAAAAAAAAA
Rosa rugosa (rugosa rose) is the source of this 676-nucleotide long non-coding RNA. RefSeq lists it as uncharacterized. The record is from RefSeq and is a predicted model, not a curated record. The transcript has 3 exons. NCBI's taxonomy places the organism in Eukaryota, Viridiplantae, Streptophyta, Magnoliopsida, Rosales, Rosaceae.